RNAcentral lists this transfer RNA (71 nucleotides) under Marmota monax (woodchuck). RNAcentral describes it as "tRNA.Thr". The record is from RNAcentral. Lineage: Eukaryota; Metazoa; Chordata; Mammalia; Rodentia; Sciuridae.
AGGGGUAGAGCUCAGUGGUAGAGCACCUGCUUAGUGUGCAUGAGGCCCUAGGUUCAAAAAUAGUGUCUUCC